UUCUGCUUUUUCUUUCUUUUACAUAUAUCUUUUGGUUUACAAUACUAGUGUUUAUAUUCAUUUACCAUGCAUAGAUGUAUUUUUUUCACCUGCUUGGAUUUAUUUUGUAAAUGAUCGCCAAACCCGGAAUUACCCUUAUCCGCUUCCGGAAUCGGAUCCGAUUUUGUAAAAUUUUGUCUUCACGGCCGCCAUUGUUAUGUGUUCGCAAUGUUGUUUUUGUCAAUCAGGUACGAUUUUACUCGAAUUUAUACAAUAUUUGUCGGCGAUUUUCUGUAUAAAGCUAGCGGUUGAACAAAAUGAACAUCGCCGUCAUGAAUAAUAAUGAUAAAAAUAAGUUUUUAGCUCGUUUAAUUGGAGACUUUGGUGAACAUGGUGAAAAGGUUUGCAAAGUAAUUUCUUAUUUUCUUUCAAAUGUAAGGUGACUACGUCGGGCGUAGCUAGAAUCCAACUAUCCUAGUCGAAAUUCCGCUUGCAAAAGUGGAAGAUCGCGGAUCUCGGACCAC
This 503-nucleotide long non-coding RNA is filed under the name Mytilus galloprovincialis (Mediterranean mussel). Lineage: Eukaryota; Metazoa; Mollusca; Bivalvia; Mytilida; Mytilidae. The record is from RNAcentral.